RNAcentral lists this long non-coding RNA (4172 nucleotides) under Gossypium barbadense (sea-island cotton). RNAcentral's name for it is "long non-coding RNA (GBAR_LNC014001)". The record is from RNAcentral. Lineage: Eukaryota; Viridiplantae; Streptophyta; Magnoliopsida; Malvales; Malvaceae.
UGUGCAAUAAAACCAUUAAAAUUUAUAGACCACAUGUUUGUGCCGCCAGCCCGUGUGUGGCACACGGCCGUGUGCCAGACCGUGUGCACCUAGAAAAUUUUGUUCUAAAACAUGUAAGUUAUCCAUGUGACACUUAUACCACAAGCUACCAUUUACAUCAACUUUAACACAUUCAAAAACAUUUAAUUUAAACUCAAAACAUUAUUGGAACAAUCAUCUUAAGAGUCUAACCAAUAUACCACAAUUGGCACCUCAAAAGCACAAUUUAAAAACUAACUAAAUGAUCACAUUCAUUCAUGUCAAUAUACCCUCAUUAAUUUCUCAAGAAUUCAUUCUACACACGUAUACAUUCAACUAUCAUAUAUUUAAGUAUCAAACCAGGACAACCUAUCAAAAUACCAAUCACAACUAUUAUCAUCACUCAAAAUGCAUACUUACAUAAUCUCAAAAAGACUAACUAAAUAUAAAAUGACCAUUUAAAACAUUAAACAUCCUAGGUACAUGCCAAGACCGAAAAGAACCAUUCACCAACAUUGAGUUCAAGAUUUGCCACUGUAUGCUGAGUCGACAAUCGGAUCAAUGAAUACCUAACCUGAGCACACAAUAGAAAAUAAAUCAUACGAUAAGUAAAACCUCAUGGCAUUUUUAUAGUUUGGAUAUUUAAACAUAUUACGAAAUAGCCAAGUACGCAAUUUAAAUACCAUAAGAAAUAUGCAAAGAAACAUGUAGCUUUCAUAUUUUCAGAACUACAUUCAUCAAAUCUCUCUAGAGUUUCUAAUAUGAAGCAUCUCACUUUAUUUUCUUUACUCAAUAAAAAUAACCACAUAUAUAUCUUAUUUCAUUCUAACUUUAGUAUCGUUCAUUAUUCAGUGUUAAUUUCGAUUCCCAUUUCUUAUCUUCAUUUUCCUUGUUAACGUGAUUCGAACUUGGACGUCUACGCGAAUCCAACCAUCACACCAAAUUUGGCACUCAGUGCUUGACGGAUAAAUUCGUAAAUAAUGAAAUGCGCCUUGCGCUAGCCACUAAAACCGACAAAUGAGUGUGUCAGCACUGGUCGGUAUAACCGAAAAAUAAAUAUGCCCUGUGCUAGUUAAUAAAACUGAAAAAUGAGUGUGCCCAGAACUGGUCGGUAUAACCAAAAAGUAAAUGCGCCUUGCGUUGGUCGGUAAAACAUACAAAUGAGUGUGCCUAGCACUGGCCGGUAUAACCGAAAAAUAAAUGAACCCUGCGCUGGCCAGUGAAACCAACAAAUGAGUGUUCAUUCAUUUCAAAACCAAUGUUUCAAUUUCAUUUUAACAUUUCACCAAUUUGUUCCAAAGACUAACUCUCUUAAUAUACUCACCAAACAAAGUAAUAUAUAUAUAUAAGAACAAUAAUUGAAAUAGUUGGGUUAUAGAAACACCAACCUUUGAACAUUAUAACUGAACAUACAUACAACAUAGUUUAUAACAUUCACCCACUUUAUAAUUUCUGACUACAGUAUCGAUGGACACGCGAAUAACACUAAUAUUGUAAGAAUCGAAUAGUGUUAAAACAACAAUAUUUGAACAACCUUGAAUUACACUCGUUUAUUGAUACGAGAUCAAAGGCCUGACAAAUGCGUUCCAAACUAAAUGGGACCAUUCAGGAGUUUGUUACCAAGGCCUUAGAUGCAUACACGAAAGAACGGGAAAAUCAAGAUUUCAAAUCUUGGGAAUCUUGGUCCAAGAAACCAAAUCUUGCAGCCAAAGCGCAUUGGAUCUCCGUUACGAGCAUCAACGAUUCAAUUUUGGUAGGAGAUGGAUCACAAUCCCAAAUUCUUGAAGUCAAGGCCCAAUAAAAAGAUUCCAAGCCCAAUCAAGAAAUCCACCCAUACUUAGUCGAAAAUCAGGCCAAAUUGUCAAAGUGGCCCAAGUUGUAAAGUUUUAUAUUUAUUUACUUAUUUAUUUUACUUAGUUUAAAUUUUUAUGUAAAUAUCCAGCUCAAGAGUCCCAAAUAAAGACCCUUGGCCGAAUUUCCAUAUUAAAAUAAUUAGGAGUUUUUUUAUUUUAGUUUUCUAAUUAGAUUAGGAAAACACUUGAGAGGCCUAUAUAAAGGCUUGGCCGGCCACCUUGUUAUUCACUUCUCAAUUAUAUCAAAAAUUUCAGAUUUGUUUAAGUGCAGAAUUCUCUUUGAGUUUUUCUCCAAGAAUUCUCUCUUGGGUUUUCUUUAAAAGUUGUUUUAACAAUCUUUUGAUUGUGGGAGCCAUCUUCAGCCUUCUUCUUGCCAUUGAUAUUCUUGGAGGGGAGAUUAGAGCCGUUUGAAGGGAGUUGUGAGAUCUUUCGGGAUUUCAAGGCUUCUCAGGACUUAUCUUUUAAUUUCUUGCUGUCAAUUCUUUCUUUAUUUCUGCUUGUGCCGAAUCUUUAUCUAAUUUAUUUGCUGUUCUUAUUGUGUUUCCAGCCUUUUUUCUAUCUUAAAGAAUCAGCCAAAAAUCCCCAAUUUCUAGGGUUCUUGUCGAUUCAUCCUUACUCUUUUUGGGUGAAAUUAGAUUGCCGAAAUUUGGGGAAAACUAUCUUGGUGUUCAAUUGGGCAGAAUCGCAAUCUCCUUUAGGGUUUCAAGAACCCUUAUUAACACUUAUUUCUAUUCUCAAUUUGAUUCUUUGUUGAUUUGGGGAUUUUAUUUCAGAUUUAGAAAUUCAAAGUUCUAAUCUUUUAAUUUUCUGUUUCGUUUCAGAUCUGAUUGUUUAGGGUUUUCAUAGGAGUUUCCCGUGACUUGGCAACUCGAUCUUGGUCCGCGCUCAACCCCCGUAUCAUUUAUCCUUCCCAUUGAAAUGAUAAUAUAACAGAAAAAAUCAAGUAAAGCAUUAAAUCAGCAUGAAGUAUAUCAGAUAUAACCAACUUUGGGAAAACACUUAUUUACCUAUAAUAUCAGCAUUAAAAUCGGCAUAAACACUUAUUUAAUCCUAACAUUUAAUUUAACAUAAACAUAAUAGAAAUGUCUACUUGGACAACACUUAAAACAUGCUUUGGAUGACAUUUAAAACAUAUUUUGGACAACAUUUAAAACUUACUUUGACAGCAUUUGAAACAUACUUUUGCUGGCACUUAAUGCAUAUCAAAUGUUACAGAGAUACAAACAGGCUUCUGCUCAAUUUCAAUCUGAUUAAUAUAAACAAAUCAAUUCCAUAUAACUACUUCAAGAUAACUCAAUUCUUUCUUGGCAUCGGACUGUAGCAAUAAAUAACACAAAAUAUCAUAACAUACAAAAUUUAAUAAGCAUCAAACUAAGAAUUUGCUCACCGUAAACUUCGGGUUAUUCAAAUCGUAAUCAUUUAAUUCAUAUUUUUUGAUUUAAACCUUUAAUGCCAAAAAUAUUAUAUAAAUGACAGUUCAAAUAGUGAGCAAAGCAAUAUAAUAGAAAUGCAUCAUCAAUUAAUAGUGUAAGUCCCAUAUGAACUUACCUGACAAAAAUGGUGACACGCAAAACGCCGAGGACUAAUUCGCAAAAAAAAAGACUUUUCCUCAACUAUCCCCUGAUUACCUCAAAUCUCGAUCUAUACAAUAAUUUAUUUCGAUUUAUCAAUUUCAAACAUGUCAAAACAACCUAUUAUAAUCAUAUAUAUUAAUUCAAAAAAAUUCAAUGAUCCCUAAAGUUUUGUAUUUUAUUCAAUUUAGUCAUUAAAACCGAAAUGGUUAUAUCUUGCAAAUUUGAGAACCAAUUUUUAAAAAGAUUUCAAAUACUUCCCAUUACAACCCUCUGCUAUCAAUAAUUAUAGAAAAUUAAUACCAAUUUUGAAAUAUUUUAAUUUUUGUCCCUAUAUUCAAAACUAACAAUUAAACUUUACAAAUUAGUCUCUCUUUUUCUUUUUCCAAAUCUAAACUUAAAAAGUUAACCAUUUAACACCAAAACUUCAAACAUUCAACUAAAGUAACAUCUUCAAAUUUUAACAAUAACAAAAAUUACAAGAUGGGUCGGCUAGCUUAUAGUACCGGAAUUUCAAAAACAUAAAAAUUAUAAGAAAAUAACUAAAUUGCACUAACCAAUUUGAAGCUUGAAAAGUUUAAACCCCAUGCGUCCUUCUCCUUUCUUUUUUCGAAAAGGCUAGGAUGAAAAGAGAAUAAUCUCUCUCUUCCCAUCCACUAAUAUCAUCUUUUAAUUUCUUUUUGUCUUUUUUGUCUUUUAACAAUAAUUUUACUAAAGUUUACAAAUAUAA